CAGCAGUGAGUUUAUUUGCCAGAAAUAUCAAAUGCUAACGAACAGCUUGCUGUAGUCCUGGCCUUGGCUUCCAUCAUUAACCUGAUUAGACCAGAAUUAUCUGCAAUGUUCUUGGAUGUUCUUUCACUGGUAUUAGAAGGUCGUUAAACAAUGGGCAUGUAUUUUGCAAGCUCCACUGGGAUUGCUUUUCAUUUCAAGCAGGAGAAAUAUUUAUAAAGAAACUUCAUGCAGAGAGGACUGGCUAAAUAAGAGAGACUGAACAGCAGCAGACCUUUCAAGAGGUCUCAGAAGACCCUACUACAUUGUAUAUCUACAGUUAAGACAGAGAAUUGUGUUCAAAUGAAGAAAGUCCAAAAGACUGAGAAUGGCAUCACUGGAAAGGCCAUGGGGAAUACACCAGAGCUGGAUGCUCGAGAAGAGAA
RNAcentral lists this long non-coding RNA (422 nucleotides) under Zonotrichia albicollis (white-throated sparrow). RNAcentral describes it as "lncRNA (ENSZALG00000012350.1)". Lineage: Eukaryota; Metazoa; Chordata; Aves; Passeriformes; Passerellidae. The record is from RNAcentral.